RNAcentral lists this long non-coding RNA (942 nucleotides) under Homo sapiens (human). RNAcentral describes it as "long non-coding RNA NONHSAT167109.1". Lineage: Eukaryota; Metazoa; Chordata; Mammalia; Primates; Hominidae. The record is from RNAcentral.
UUAGGCAUGAAGGAACUGACUCUCAAGCAGACCUAGAAGAUAUCAUUGUUGUAUUAAACAGCUUCAAAAGCAAGAUACUCAAAGUAAAAGUGAAAAAAGAAACAGACAAAAUUAAGGAAGAUAUCCUUACCGAUGAAGAUGAAAAAACAAAAGGACUGUGGGAUUCCAUUAAAAGUUUCACAGUAAGCUUGCAUAAAGAAAACAAAAAGGAAAAAGAUGUCCUAAACAUUUUUUCAGUUGCUUCUGGUCAUUUAUAUGAACGUUUUUUAAGAAUUAUGAUGCUUUCUGUUUUGCGUAACACCAAAACACCAGUGAAAUUCUGGUUGCUAAAAAAUUAUCUCUCACCGACAUUUAAAGAAGUAAUUCCUCACAUGGCUAAAGAGUAUGGAUUCCGAUAUGAACUAGUUCAAUAUAGGUGGCCCCGUUGGCUUCGUCAACAGACUGAAAGACAGAGGAUUAUUUGGGGUUACAAAAUUCUUUUCCUUGAUGUUCUUUUCCCACUAGCAGUGGACAAAAUCAUUUUUGUUGAUGCUGACCAGAUUGUGAGACAUGAUCUAAAAGAACUUCGAGAUUUCGAUCUGGAUGGAGCUCCUUAUGGGUAUACUCCAUUUUGUGAUAGCCGCAGGGAAAUGGAUGGAUAUCGUUUCUGGAAAACAGGAUACUGGGCAUCACAUCUUUUAAGACGGAAAUACCAUAUCAGUGCUUUAUAUGUAGUGGAUCUCAAGAAGUUCAGGAGAAUUGGAGCAGGUGACAGGCUCAGGAGCCAGUAUCAAGCUCUCAGUCAAGAUCCAAACAGUCUUUCAAACCUAGAUCAGGAUCUCCCCAAUAAUAUGAUUUACCAAGUCGCCAUUAAGUCUCUUCCUCAAGACUGGCUGUGGUGUGAAACCUGGUGUGAUGAUGAAUCCAAACAAAGAGCCAAAACAAUUGAUCUGUGCAAUAAUC